This 734-nucleotide ribosomal RNA is filed under the name Bacillus mojavensis. Its description in RNAcentral is "bacterial SSU rRNA". It matches the Rfam family "Bacterial small subunit ribosomal RNA", at positions 12 to 728 of the family's 1533-position model. Lineage: Bacteria; Bacillati; Bacillota; Bacilli; Caryophanales; Bacillaceae. The record is from RNAcentral.
UUUGAUCCUGGCUCAGGACGAACGCUGGCGGCGUGCCUAAUACAUGCAAGUCGAGCGGACAGAUGGGAGCUUGCUCCCUGAUGUUAGCGGCGGACGGGUGAGUAACACGUGGGUAACCUGCCUGUAAGACUGGGAUAACUCCGGGAAACCGGGGCUAAUACCGGAUGCUUGUUUGAACCGCAUGGUUCAAACAUAAAAGGUGGCUUCGGCUACCACUUACAGAUGGACCCGCGGCGCAUUAGCUAGUUGGUGAGGUAACGGCUCACCAAGGCAACGAUGCGUAGCCGACCUGAGAGGGUGAUCGGCCACACUGGGACUGAGACACGGCCCAGACUCCUACGGGAGGCAGCAGUAGGGAAUCUUCCGCAAUGGACGAAAGUCUGACGGAGCAACGCCGCGUGAGUGAUGAAGGUUUUCGGAUCGUAAAGCUCUGUUGUUAGGGAAGAACAAGUACCGUUCGAAUAGGGCGGUACCUUGACGGUACCUAACCAGAAAGCCACGGCUAACUACGUGCCAGCAGCCGCGGUAAUACGUAGGUGGCAAGCGUUGUCCGGAAUUAUUGGGCGUAAAGGGCUCGCAGGCGGUUCCUUAAGUCUGAUGUGAAAGCCCCCGGCUCAACCGGGGAGGGUCAUUGGAAACUGGGGAACUUGAGUGCAGAAGAGGAGAGUGGAAUUCCACGUGUAGCGGUGAAAUGCGUAGAGAUGUGGAGGAACACCAGUGGCGAAGGCGACUNU